This 350-nucleotide ribosomal RNA is filed under the name uncultured bacterium. RNAcentral describes it as "bacterial SSU rRNA". It matches the Rfam family "Bacterial small subunit ribosomal RNA", at positions 163 to 507 of the family's 1533-position model. The record is from RNAcentral.
UUAAUACUCCCAUAAUAUUGUAGUAAUCGCCUGAUUAUAUAAAUUAAAGCUACGGCGGUAUAAGAUGAGUAUGCGUCUGAUUAGCUAGUUGGUGAGGUAACGGCUCACCAAGGCGACGAUCAGUAGGGGGCCUGAGAGGGUUAUCCCCCCACACUGGUACUGAGACACGGACCAGACUCCUACGGGAGGCAGCAGUGAGGAAUAUUGGUCAAUGGAGGCAACUCUGAACCAGCCAUGCCGCGUGUAGGAAGAAUGCCCUAUGGGUUGUAAACUACUUUUAUUGGGGAAGAAACCCUUCUACGUGUAGAAGGCUGACGGUACCCAAGGAAUAAGGACCGGCUAACUCCGUG